This 508-nucleotide ribosomal RNA is filed under the name Psychrobacter sp. RNAcentral describes it as "bacterial SSU rRNA". It matches the Rfam family "Bacterial small subunit ribosomal RNA", at positions 59 to 561 of the family's 1533-position model. The record is from RNAcentral. Lineage: Bacteria; Pseudomonadati; Pseudomonadota; Gammaproteobacteria; Moraxellales; Moraxellaceae.
CAGUCGAGCGGAACGAUGGGAGCUUGCUCCCAGGCGUCGAGCGGCGGACGGGUGAGUAACACUUAGGAAUCUACCUAGUAGUGGGGGAUAGCUCGGGGAAACUCGAAUUAAUACCGCAUACGACCUACGGGAGAAAGGGGGCAGUUUACUGCUCUCGCUAUUAGAUGAGCCUAAGUCGGAUUAGCUAGAUGGUGGGGUAAAGGCCUACCAUGGCGACGAUCUGUAGCUGGUCUGAGAGGAUGAUCAGCCACACCGGGACUGAGACACGGCCCGGACUCCUACGGGAGGCAGCAGUGGGGAAUAUUGGACAAUGGGGGGAACCCUGAUCCAGCCAUGCCGCGUGUGUGAAGAAGGCCUUUUGGUUGUAAAGCACUUUAAGCAGUGAAGAAGACCUAACGGUUAAUACCCGUUAGCGAUGACAUUAGCUGCAGAAUAAGCACCGGCUAACUCUGUGCCAGCAGCCGCGGUAAUACAGAGGGUGCAAGCGUUAAUCGGAAUUACUGGGCGU